UUAAGCGACUAAGCGUACACGGUGGAUGCCCUGGCAGUCAGAGGCGAUGAAGGACGUGCUAAUCUGCGAUAAGCGUCGGUAAGGUGAUAUGAACCGUUAUAACCGGCGAUUUCCGAAUGGGGAAACCCAGUGUGAUUCGUCACACUAUCAUUAACUGAAUCCAUAGGUUAAUGAGGCGAACCGGGGGAACUGAAACAUCUAAGUACCCCGAGGAAAAGAAAUCAACCGAGAUUCCCCCAGUAGCGGCGAGCGAACGGGGAGGAGCCCAGAGCCUGAAUCAGUGUGUGUGUUAGUGGAAGCGUCUGGAAAGGCGCGCGAUACAGGGUGACAGCCCCGUACACAAAAAUGCACAUACUGUGAGCUCGAUGAGUAGGGCGGGACACGUGGUAUCCUGUCUGAAUAUGGGGGGACCAUCCUCCAAGGCUAAAUACUCCUGACUGACCGAUAGUGAACCAGUACCGUGAGGGAAAGGCGAAAAGAACCCCGGCGAUGGGAGUGAAAAAGAACCUGAAACCGUGUACGUACAAGCAGUGGGAGCCUCUUUAUGGGGUGACUGCGUACCUUUUGUAUAAUGGGUCAGCGACUUAUAUUCUGUAGCAAGGUUAACCGAAUAGGGGAGCCGAAGGGAAACCGAGUCUUAACUGGGCGUUAAGUUGCAGGGUAUAGACCCGAAACCCGGUGAUCUAGCCAUGGGCAGGUUGAAGGUUGGGUAACACUAACUGGAGGACCGAACCGACUAAUGUUGAAAAAUUAGCGGAUGACUUGUGGCUGGGGGUGAAAGGCCAAUCAAACCGGGAGAUAGCUGGUUCUCCCCGAAAGCUAUUUAGGUAGCGCCUCGUGAAUUCAUCUCCGGGGGUAGAGCACUGUUUCGGCAAGGGGGUCAUCCCGACUUACCAACCCGAUGCAAACUGCGAAUACCGGAGAAUGUUAUCACGGGAGACACACGGCGGGUGCUAACGUCCGUCGUGAAGAGGGAAACAACCCAGACCGCCAGCUAAGGUCCCAAAGUCAUGGUUAAGUGGGAAACGAUGUGGGAAGGCCCAGACAGCCAGGAUGUUGGCUUAGAAGCAGCCAUCAUUUAAAGAAAGCGUAAUAGCUCACUGGUCGAGUCGGCCUGCGCGGAAGAUGUAACGGGGCUAAACCAUGCACCGAAGCUGCGGCAGCGACACUAUGUGUUGUUGGGUAGGGGAGCGUUCUGUAAGCCUGCGAAGGUGUACUGUGAGGUAUGCUGGAGGUAUCAGAAGUGCGAAUGCUGACAUAAGUAACGAUAAAGCGGGUGAAAAGCCCGCUCGCCGGAAGACCAAGGGUUCCUGUCCAACGUUAAUCGGGGCAGGGUGAGUCGACCCCUAAGGCGAGGCCGAAAGGCGUAGUCGAUGGGAAACAGGUUAAUAUUCCUGUACUUGGUGUUACUGCGAAGGGGGACGGAGAAGGCUAUGUUGGCCGGGCGACGGUUGUCCCGGUUUAAGCGUGUAGGCUGGUUUUCCAGGCAAAUCCGGAAAAUCAAGGCUGAGGCGUGAUGACGAGGCACUACGGUGCUGAAGCAACAAAUGCCCUGCUUCCAGGAAAAGCCUCUAAGCAUCAGGUAACAUCAAAUCGUACCCCAAACCGACACAGGUGGUCAGGUAGAGAAUACCAAGGCGCUUGAGAGAACUCGGGUGAAGGAACUAGGCAAAAUGGUGCCGUAACUUCGGGAGAAGGCACGCUGAUACGUAGGUGAAGUCCCUUGCGGAUGGAGCUGAAAUCAGUCGAAGAUACCAGCUGGCUGCAACUGUUUAUUAAAAACACAGCACUGUGCAAACACGAAAGUGGACGUAUACGGUGUGACGCCUGCCCGGUGCCGGAAGGUUAAUUGAUGGGGUUAGCGGUAACGCGAAGCUCUUGAUCGAAGCCCCGGUAAACGGCGGCCGUAACUAUAACGGUCCUAAGGUAGCGAAAUUCCUUGUCGGGUAAGUUCCGACCUGCACGAAUGGCGUAAUGAUGGCCAGGCUGUCUCCACCCGAGACUCAGUGAAAUUGAACUCGCUGUGAAGAUGCAGUGUACCCGCGGCAAGACGGAAAGACCCCGUGAACCUUUACUAUAGCUUGACACUGAACAUUGAGCCUUGAUGUGUAGGAUAGGUGGGAGGCUUUGAAGUGUGGACGCCAGUCUGCAUGGAGCCGACCUUGAAAUACCACCCUUUAAUGUUUGAUGUUCUAACGUUGGCCCCUGAUCGGGGUUGCGGACAGUGUCUGGUGGGUAGUUUGACUGGGGCGGUCUCCUCCUAAAGAGUAACGGAGGAGCACGAAGGUUGGCUAAUCCUGGUCGGACAUCAGGAGGUUAGUGCAAUGGCAUAAGCCAGCUUGACUGCGAGCGUGACGGCGCGAGCAGGUGCGAAAGCAGGUCAUAGUGAUCCGGUGGUUCUGAAUGGAAGGGCCAUCGCUCAACGGAUAAAAGGUACUCCGGGGAUAACAGGCUGAUACCGCCCAAGAGUUCAUAUCGACGGCGGUGUUUGGCACCUCGAUGUCGGCUCAUCACAUCCUGGGGCUGAAGUAGGUCCCAAGGGUAUGGCUGUUCGCCAUUUAAAGUGGUACGCGAGCUGGGUUUAGAACGUCGUGAGACAGUUCGGUCCCUAUCUGCCGUGGGCGCUGGAGAACUGAGGGGGGCUGCUCCUAGUACGAGAGGACCGGAGUGGACGCAUCACUGGUGUUCGGGUUGUCAUGCCAAUGGCACUGCCCGGUAGCUAAAUGCGGAAGAGAUAAGUGCUGAAAGCAUCUAAGCACGAAACUUGCCCCGAGAUGAGUUCUCCCUGACCCUUUAAGGGUCCUGAAGGAACGUUGAAGACGACGACGUUGAUAGGCCGGGUGUGUAAGCGCAGCGAUGCGUUGAGCUAACCGGUACUAAUGAACCGUGAGGCUUAACCUU
RNAcentral lists this ribosomal RNA (2901 nucleotides) under Escherichia coli. RNAcentral describes it as "23S ribosomal RNA". It matches the Rfam family "Bacterial large subunit ribosomal RNA". Lineage: Bacteria; Pseudomonadati; Pseudomonadota; Gammaproteobacteria; Enterobacterales; Enterobacteriaceae. The record is from RNAcentral.